UACGGAGGAUGCGAGCGUUAUCCGGAUUCAUUGGGUUUAAAGGGUGCGUAGGCGGGAUAUUAAGUCAGUGGUGAAAUCCUGCAGCUUAACUGCAGAACCGCCGUUGAUACUGAUAGUCUUGAGUUUGGUUAAGGUAGGCGGAAUGUGUAAUGUAGCGGUGAAAUGCUUAGAUAUUACACAGAACACCAAUUGCGUAGGCAGCUUACUGAGCCGACACUGACGCUGAGGCACGAAAGCGUGGGGAUCAGACAGGA
RNAcentral lists this ribosomal RNA (254 nucleotides) under uncultured prokaryote. RNAcentral describes it as "partial 16S ribosomal RNA". It matches the Rfam family "Bacterial small subunit ribosomal RNA", at positions 524 to 777 of the family's 1533-position model. The record is from RNAcentral.